This 497-nucleotide ribosomal RNA is filed under the name uncultured bacterium. RNAcentral describes it as "partial 16S ribosomal RNA". It matches the Rfam family "Bacterial small subunit ribosomal RNA", at positions 28 to 507 of the family's 1533-position model. The record is from RNAcentral.
GAUGAACGCUGGCGGCGUGCCUAAUACAUGCAAGUCGAGCGAACAGAUGAGGAGCUUGCUCCUCUGACGUUAGCGGCGGACGGGUGAGUAACACGUGGAUAACCUACCUAUAAGACUGGGAUAACUUCGGGAAACCGGAGCUAAUACCGGAUAAUAUAUUGAACCGCAUGGUUCAAUAGUGAAAGACGGUUUUGCUGUCACUUCUAGAUGGAUCCGCGCCGCAUUAGCUAGUUGGUAAGGUAACGGCUUACCAAGGCAACGAUGCGUAGCCGACCUGAGAGGGUGAUCGGCCACACUGGAACUGAGACACGGUCCAGACUCCUACGGGAGGCAGCAGUAGGGAAUCUUCCGCAAUGGGCGAAAGCCUGACGGAGCAACGCCGCGUGAGUGAUGAAGGUCUUCGGAUCGUAAAACUCUGUUAUUAGGGAAGAACAAUUGUGUAAGUAACUAUGCACGUCUUGACGGUACCUAAUCAGAAAGCCACGGCUAACUACGUG